Molecule: long non-coding RNA, 502 nt
Filed under: Coturnix japonica (Japanese quail)
Lineage: Eukaryota; Metazoa; Chordata; Aves; Galliformes; Phasianidae
Description: lncRNA (ENSCJPG00005017930.1)
Source: RNAcentral
AUGGCUGAUGUCACUCGGCCGGCGCCGGCCGGUCUGGGCCGCGGGGCCGAGCCGCCGGUCGGGGGAGCCCGGGGAAGCGGGGUGUGGUGGUGGAGGAGGGGGGUGGAGAGGUUUGAUGCCGCUCCUCCGCUUCCCGCUCGUUCUCGGGCUCUGCACAACGGGCUUUGCGGGGUUUCAAGCCUCUGCAAGAUCCUGACUGCUAGGGAACAAAGGCUGGUAUGCGGUUCCCUCAAAGCUCUGCACUUUUUAGUUCCUGCACGUAUUUAUUUCUCAUCAGGAAUAAUGGCAAGAUUUGCUCUCCCAGAGCACACCAGGAUGAAACAGGACCCUGGGGAAUGAAAGGAGAGACUACGCACCUCACUAAAACAUUAAACACUACGGACAAUCCUGAUGCUGCCGUGUAAGACUGCUCAGAAGAAAGAAGAUACAGAGGAGUCGGGGAGAGGAAAAAGAAGCUGAGAUGCAAGGUUGUAAAUAAAUUAUGCCCUGUGUUAAGAUUGCA